Molecule: long non-coding RNA, 1999 nt
Filed under: Linum usitatissimum (flax)
Lineage: Eukaryota; Viridiplantae; Streptophyta; Magnoliopsida; Malpighiales; Linaceae
Description: long non-coding RNA (LUSI_LNC005366)
Source: RNAcentral
CCAAAUUAGUUCGAGGAUUCGUUCGGGGAAUUGACUAAAUUUCGACAAACUAGGAUCCUUCGAGAGUAUCACACCGAAUUUGAGAGGCUUCUUGUUUACGUGGGACAGAUACCCCUACGCCAACAAGUUAGUUGCUUCAUAAGUGGGAUGCGAUCUGAGAUUUGGAUUGAUGUGCAGGUCUGCUUGCUGGAGACAUUUACGACUGUCGUCGGCCUAGCUUGGUUGUAUGAGCGAAAAUCCUGAAAUUGCCACAGCUCCCAGACUGGAGACCACCUGCCAGAGCUGAUGCCUUGUCUCUCCAAUGGGAAAUCGCAUCUAUUUCAACUUCGAUGGCUACAUGGAUGGACAUGAUAAAAGAGGAAGUUGAGCUCACUGCACCAAUGCACGCAUUACGAGAUAAUUGCUUGGAUGGGAAGCUCUAGGCUGAAUGGAUAGUGAAGCAUGGGGUCUUGUACAAACGUGACUGUAUUUUCCUUCUUCCCAAUUCAACACUGGUACCUAUGAUCCUACAACAGAUGUGUGGUUAACUUAUGAAGGGGUUCACAAGACCGCUCACCAUAUUUUACAGGCAUAAUAUGCACAAUGACAUUAAAAUAUUUAACCAAAGUGCCUCGUUUGCCAACAGAACAAAGCUGAGAAUUUGAAACCGAUAGGGCUUCUCGACCCGCUCUCAAUCCCAAUGGAAAUUUGGUGCUGACAUCUCAAUGGAUUUUUUCAAAGGGCUGACAAAAUCCCAAGGCAAGAACGUCGUUCUAGUAGUCGUCGAUCGCCUCUUGAAGAUGGCGCAUUCGUCCCCGUAACACAUCCCUACACGGUGUCUCGGCCGCUAGGACCCUGUGAACGAAUUUUCUUAAACUUUACGGCAGGCCAUCAACCAUCGUUUGUGAUUGGGAUCCAACUUUCACCAGCCUUUUUUGACCGAUCUUUUCCGCCUCUAAGGGACGAGCUUCAAUUUCAGUUCGGCACAUCAUCCCCAAACGGAUGGACAGACAGAAGCAAUCAAUAAGGAGCUUGCAAUAUACUUGUGUUGUUUCUCGGGUGAUCGAACCAAGGAAUGGACGAAGUGGCUACCAUGGGUGGAAUUCUUCUACAACACCAGCGUCCACUCCAUGACUCGUCAGACCCCUUUUAAAGCUAUCUACGGUAAUAAGCCGCCCAAUAUCCUCGCCUACGUUUCGGGAACUUCACGGGUACCAGCUGUGGACGAGGAUUUGGUUGAACAAGAGGAGUUUAUUAGGGACAUUCGACAACAUUAAGUUGUCUCAGGAACAAAUGGCCAGUUUCUAUAAUCAAGGUCGGGUAGACCAAUAAUUUCUGGUGGGCGAUUAGGUCUACAUCAAAUUACAACCUUACCGACAGAAGACCUUGUGUAGCACCUCCACCUACAAGCCGUCCCCAUGAUUUUAUGGUCCAUAUCAAGUGCUCAGCAACAUCGAGAAGUUAGCGUACGAGUUCCACAUGCCGCCAAAAGCCACGGUGCACCAUGUUUUCCACGUCUCAAAGCUCCAACUUGCUAGUGGAGAUAUCACAGGGAUGCGCCCAACCCCUCCUCUGGUAGCUGAUCAGGUUGUUGAGGCCGAGCCGCUUGCCGUACUCGCCACCCCUACUCAGCAUGGCAAGAGGGAAGUCCUUAUUCAAUGGAGCCAUACCUCACCUACGGACGUGACAUGGGAGGAUCACCAGAGGCUUGUUCAUUAAUUUCACCACAUUCCUGUGGACAAGAAUGUUUUGUAGGAGGGAGGCAUGUUACGUGGAGAUCCACGUCUGAGCCACAACUUAUCAUUUAACUUGUUAUCCUUGUUAUUGUUUAUUCAAGAUUUUUAUAUUCCUCUUGAUGUAAUUCAUUGAAGUCAUCAAUAAUAAACCUAUUUCCUUUCAUAAUCGCAACAGGUGUUUGGCUGCCAUACAUGGUUUCGGGGAAUCACUAUCCCUCGUUUAGCUUUUAUCGUCCUUCACCAUUACUCGAUUCUUAGAUUUACGCAACGUGACCUCCUCAACC